RNAcentral lists this transfer RNA (72 nucleotides) under Urocitellus parryii (Arctic ground squirrel). RNAcentral describes it as "Spermophilus parryii (Arctic ground squirrel) tRNA". It matches the Rfam family "tRNA". From Rfam's summary of the family: Transfer RNA (tRNA) molecules are approximately 80 nucleotides in length. Their secondary structure includes four short double-helical elements and three loops (D, anti-codon, and T loops). Lineage: Eukaryota; Metazoa; Chordata; Mammalia; Rodentia; Sciuridae. The record is from Rfam by way of RNAcentral. RNAcentral also lists the same sequence under 1 other name.
GAAGAUGUAGCUCAGUGGUAGAGUAGUUGACUAGCAUGCAAAAGGCCCUGGGUUCAAUCCCCUACACCGUCA